GACGAACGCUGGCGGCGUGCUUAACACAUGCAAGUCGAACGGAAAGGCCCUGCUUUUGUGGGGUGCUCGAGUGGCGAACGGGUGAGUAACACGUGAGUAACCUGCCCUUGACUUUGGGAUAACUUCAGGAAACUGGGGCUAAUACCGGAUAGGAGCUCCUGCUGCAUGGUGGGGGUUGGAAAGUUUCGGCGGUUGGGGAUGGACUCGCGGCUUAUCAGCUUGUUGGUGGGGUAGUGGCUUACCAAGGCUUUGACGGGUAGCCGGCCUGAGAGGGUGACCGGCCACAUUGGGACUGAGAUACGGCACAGACUCCUACGGGAGGCAGCAGUGGGGAAUAUUGCACAAUGGGCGGGAGCCUGAUGCAGCAACGCCGCGUGCGGGAUGACGGCCUUCGGGUUGUAAACCGCUUUCGCCUGUGACGAAGCGUGAGUGACGGUAAUGGGUAAAGAAGCACCGGCUAACUACGUG
Molecule: ribosomal RNA, 468 nt
Filed under: uncultured bacterium
Lineage: Bacteria
Description: partial 16S ribosomal RNA
Rfam family: Bacterial small subunit ribosomal RNA
Source: RNAcentral